RNAcentral lists this ribosomal RNA (494 nucleotides) under uncultured bacterium. RNAcentral describes it as "partial 16S ribosomal RNA". It matches the Rfam family "Bacterial small subunit ribosomal RNA", at positions 28 to 507 of the family's 1533-position model. The record is from RNAcentral.
GACGAACGCUGGCGGCGUGCUUAACACAUGCAAGUCGAACGGUGAAGCGCCUUCCUUUUUGGUGGGUGUGGAUGAGUGGCGAACGGGUGAGUAACACGUGAGUAACCUGCCCCCUUCUUCUGGAUAACCGCAUGAAAGUGUGGCUAAUACGGGAUAUCCUGGGUCUGUCGCAUGAUGGGUCUGGGAAAGAUAUUGUUUCGGUGGGGGAUGGGCUCGGGGCCUAUCAGCUUGUUGGGCGGGUGAUGGCCUACCAAGGCGGUGACGGGUAGCCGGCCUGAGAGGGUGGACGGUCACACUGGGACUGAGACACGGCCCAGACUCCUACGGGAGGCAGCAGUGGAGAAUAUUGCACAAUGGGCGCAAGCCUGAUGCAGCGACGCCGCGUGAGGGAUGGAGGCCUUCGGGUUGUGAACCUCUUUCGCCAGUGAAGCAGGCCUGCCUCGUUUGUGGGUGGGUUGACGGUAGCUGGAUAAGAAGCGCCGGCUAACUACGUG